RNAcentral lists this long non-coding RNA (1303 nucleotides) under Rhinopithecus bieti (black snub-nosed monkey). RNAcentral's name for it is "lncRNA (ENSRBIG00000046749.1)". The record is from RNAcentral. Lineage: Eukaryota; Metazoa; Chordata; Mammalia; Primates; Cercopithecidae.
AGCUGACAAGCCGUAGCAGGACGGCCAUCCCCUGAGAGAUAGGAGAGGAGGAGAAACAGCCCAGCAGGGGCCUGGAGCAGCUGGCUGGCGUCAGUAAUUUCCUGCAGGAGACUCUGCCGGCCGAGCACACGUCACCCUUCUGUUGAUCCUCUGUAUUCUCCCUUGUGCUACUAAAAUACGCUAAUGUAACUCCUGGGCUGUGCUGAGCUAAAUGCAGUUAUUUAACUUCAUCACUAUGGAACCCAGGUCUAAAGCAGCAACAUCUAUUUGGAACAAGGUGGGGAGGAGGAAAAAUAAUCUUCCCUGGAUCUGAGCAACUGUAUUAAGUUUGUGCUUGUCCAACACCUGCAACACAUGCCCCUACCUGGAGAAGAGAUUCUGGAACAAUCGGUCUCCUAGGAUUCCCUGAGAGUCACAGUUACCUGCAUCAAAGUAUCAAGGAGGCCACUUAAUGACAGAAAUGUUAGGGUCACCUCACUAGAGCAGACCUCCAUCAGUCGGUGUUUACCCACCUUCCAGAGCUUCCUUCCUGGACUCUUGCCCUCGGAUUCCCCACCUGUAGAACUCUCACACUGCCAUCACCCAACUCAGGAUCCCAAGAAUGCCCAUUUUCAGCCUUAUAAAUCCUUUACCUUGCUUCCAAGACCCUAUAGUCUAUUUGUUUUCCAAACUUUCUCUCCAAGCAUCAGAUUCCUCAUGAAACUUACACUGACUAGUCCGCCACCCACCUCCCUCUCCUUGGAUCUUCACGGCACCUAGGUAUGCAAGGCAUAAAGUAAUGUAGAAUGCCCUUCCGGCUUAUGUGGAACCACAGGGGAGUCCCCUGGGCUUUUAAUAUGGUUUCCCCAUCUGGAAUGACACCUCCUGAAGGACAAAAACCUCUUGUUAAAAAAGUCAACUUUAUUGAAAUAUAACAUACAUACACCAAAAUGCACCUGAUUUUUUAAGUGUUCAGUUUGAUAAGGUUUGACAGAUGUAUACACCCAUGUAACCACCAUCACAACCAAGAUAUAGAACAUUUCUAUCACCCCAGAAAUACCUCUGAGCCCCUUUGUAGUAAAUUCCUCCACCCCCGACCCAGGCAGCCACUUGCUGGAUUUCUAUUCAUAUAGAUUAGUUUUGCCUGCCCUUGAACUCCACAAAAGUGCAGUCACAAAGGUUGUAGUCUUUUGUGUCAGUCUCUUUUGGUUAGCACGAUGUUUUAAAGAUUCCCCCACACUGUUUAUUAUUUUUUUGUUGCUGAGUGGUAUUCUAUGGUAGAGACUAUACUACAACUUGAUUGUCAAUGUUGACUAAAUUUGGG